RNAcentral lists this non-coding RNA (395 nucleotides) under Gautieria sp. The record is from RNAcentral. Lineage: Eukaryota; Fungi; Basidiomycota; Agaricomycetes; Gomphales; Gomphaceae.
GCACGCAAACCGUUUGGUUUGCAUGGGUUAGGGGGGAACUUGGUUCGUCCGCGAGGACGCCUCACCCCUCGGGCAAAAAGAAGUAUCGGCAGACAUGCAAGGAAGACCGCCUCACCUUUUGUGUGUGGGGGGGGCCAUUUAGUGCGGUUCUCCCGCAAAGUGGACACGGGCCGCCUCGCCUCCUGGGAAAAUGUCGGUUGGGUUCUCAAGCGUCAAAUUUGGUCGAUUUGGGAACCGCCCUUGCCCCCUUCCCAGGCGGACGCAGUUGGGUUCGCUAAGCGAAAACGGGACGGGGACCACGUCAUCACCUUCUGGGGGACAUGUUUCUGGGUCCUUGGGAGGUCGGUGGCGGGGUUCACGGGAGGGACCUGGCCCCCACCCCUUCACUGAAACGG